AUUCCGUGACGAGGGCACUUCCGUAAUAAUUCUUUGUACCUUUCCCCUGCCUCAUACAAGGAUUCAUCAUCCAUUUGUUGGAAACCAGUAUUCUCAUUCCUCAACUU
Non-coding RNA from Gossypium raimondii (Peruvian cotton), 107 nucleotides. The record is from Rfam. NCBI's taxonomy places the organism in Eukaryota, Viridiplantae, Streptophyta, Magnoliopsida, Malvales, Malvaceae.